Molecule: ribosomal RNA, 253 nt
Filed under: uncultured bacterium
Lineage: Bacteria
Description: partial 16S ribosomal RNA
Rfam family: Bacterial small subunit ribosomal RNA
Source: RNAcentral
UACGUAGGGUGCGAGCGUUGCCCGGAUUUAUUGGGCGUAAAGCGUGCGCAGGCGGCUUUGCAAGACAGAUGUGAAAUCCCCGGGCUUAACCUGGGAACUGCAUUUGUGACUGCAUGGCUGGAGUGCGGCAGAGGGGGAUGGAAUUCCGCGUGUAGCAGUGAAAUGCGUAGAUAUGCGGAGGAACACCGAUGGCGAAGGCAAUCCCCUGGGCCUGCACUGACGCUCAUGCACGAAAGCGUGGGGAGCAAACAGG